This is a long non-coding RNA of Chelonia mydas (Green sea turtle), 399 nucleotides long. RefSeq lists it as uncharacterized. The transcript is spliced from 3 exons. Lineage: Eukaryota; Metazoa; Chordata; Testudines; Cheloniidae. The record is from RefSeq and is a predicted model, not a curated record.
AGGAGAGGAAGGGUGGUUGAAGGGCUGGUUAAUGAUGACAUCCUCAAAUCAUUGUUCAACAUCAAGCUGCCAGCACUCUGACCCCUUUGCAUGACCAUGAUGUGCAGAGGCAUCACCGGAAACCCCCAGUCGAGCGAAUCCUGACGGGCCAUUGGGUGAAGUCUGUCUGGAUAUUGGGAGUGGUUCAUAACAGAGGACAGAAAAUACAUGAGUAGAAUCCAUCGUGGUUUUGGCACUUGAGGACUUCAGAUGGGUUACCAAGGGAGUCCGUGCUACUGCAGCUGAGUUUGCAUUUGCAUACAGUCCUCAUAUUUCUCCAGUUCUGAAGAAGGCACACGCUGACACUGGCACACACUGCCUGUUUGACACUCUCAGUUUUUCCCUUGCCCUGAUAAAAUA